This 354-nucleotide ribosomal RNA is filed under the name uncultured Veillonellaceae bacterium. Its description in RNAcentral is "partial 16S ribosomal RNA". Lineage: Bacteria; Bacillati; Bacillota; Negativicutes; Veillonellales; Veillonellaceae. The record is from RNAcentral.
GGAGUCUGGGCCGUGUCUCAGUCCCAAUGUGGCCGUUUGUCCUCUCAGACCGGCUACUGAUCGUCGCCUUGGUAAGCUCUUACCUCACCAACUAGCUAAUCAGACGCAGACCCAUCUUUCGGCGAUAGCUUAUAAAUAGAGGCCAUCUUUAGUAACUUCCCCAUGCGAGAAAAUCACUUCAUUCGGUAUUAGCAGACCUUUCGAUCUGUUGUCCCCAUCCCAAAGGUAGGUUAUCUACGCGUUACUCACCCGUUUGCCACUAGGUCAGCAAAAGCAAGCUUUUAAUGACCCCGUUCGACUUGCAUGUGUUAAGCACGCCGCCAGCGUGUCCUCGAGCCACGGAGUCAAACUACU